This 12604-nucleotide long non-coding RNA is filed under the name Ananas comosus (pineapple). RNAcentral's name for it is "long non-coding RNA (ACOM_LNC010518)". Lineage: Eukaryota; Viridiplantae; Streptophyta; Magnoliopsida; Poales; Bromeliaceae. The record is from RNAcentral.
GUAGGAGUCCUCUCCGCCGAUCCCCAACGCCGCCGCAAACGCCGUUCUCGUCGUCGUCGUCGUCGUCGUCGUCGUCGCCGCCGCCGCGUUUUGCUUCGUCUUCUCCGAUAUCAUCGCAGGAAUCGCGUUCCCGUAAGCGAUUUCUCUCCUCCUCUUAACCUUUUUAUUUAUUUUUUUUUAUUUUCCUUUUUUUUCCCUAGUAAGGGUGCGGAAGAGGAGGCGGGGAUCUUUCUUUCUAUAUAUUUAGCGCUGCUCCUGCACACACGCAUCUCUCUGUCUCUCUCUCUGCGGGUUUUACCUGGGGGAGAGAGAGAGAGAGAGAAAGAAAGGAGUUGGUAGCUGCCCGUAACGAAGCAGAGCCUGGGGCCCACAGAAAAUGAUUGAGGAGCCCGAGGUGGGCCCCGGUGGGGCCCGCCAGAGGCGGAAUCCACGUCAUGUUGUGCGCUCUGACGAGCGGAUUGCCUGAACCGUGUGUAACUGCACUCUGUGAGCCAUGAAUUCUCGAGGCGGCAAAAUAGAUUUCUUAUUACUGUUUACUAACUAGUCCUUUUUUGUUAUUAAUUUUUAAUUAAGGUGUUUUAUCCCUGAGGGUGUGUUUAGUUCCUCGUAAAAUCACUCUAAAAAUUUUAUUUUAGUUGAAAAAUAUAAUUCCCGUGUUUGGUGGCUAGUAAAAAAAUUUUUUCAGAGGUUCGCUCCACCUCUUGAACCGCGUGAGAAGAGGUCCACGAUGAACCUCUCUCUCUCUCUCCCUCUUUAUAUAUAUAUAUAUAUAUAUAUAUAUAUAUAUAUAUAUAUAUAUAUAGAGAGAGAGAGAGGUCGCGACUACUAUUUUAUUAAUAGCAUGAAGCACUUGGUGUUACCGAAUUUUUUUGAGCCCGCGGCGUAGCGCCCGAGGCCGCCCCCGUUAAGAUCUACAAUUUUAAUCAUUUUCACGCCGUUAGAUCUACUCAUUUUAUCUUUUCGACCGUUAGAUCAUACUAUUCAACCAAUCCAUCCACCUCAAUUUAAGAGGAACAUCAUCAUCCAACCGCAACGCUUUAACAUCAAUGGCCAAAAACUUGGUAGACCAAUAACUUGGUGCUAUUAAUACAUAUACCUAUAUAUACUAUAUAUAUUAUAUAUAUUAUGAUAUUAUAUUUAUAUAGUUCGGUGGAUAACACUACGAUAACACAAAAUAUUUGGUGCUAUCAAAUUUCUGGCGCGUAGAUUUAGUCUUCUUUAUUAUUUUAAUGCCGUUCGACUUAUACUAUUAACCAACCACAACACUCACCUUAAUAAGAGCCCUACAUUCAUUCUUAAUCACACCACACAUCUUUUAAUCCAAGGGCAGAAAACCUUAAAUAGCAACAAGUCAACUGUGUGUAUUAAAUAGUAUUCAGCCUAGUUAUAUAUAUAUAUAUAUAAAUUUAUUUUAUAGUGAUUAUAAAUAUAAUACUACUAUAUAUCUAUAUAUAAAACUACUAUAAGCACAUUAGCUACUAUACUUAUCAAAUAGUAUCAAACCCUUGAUACUAUGAGAUUUUUGCGCUGUUGAAUGAAAAGAUAGCGGUUAGGAUGAUAAGCCGGUCCCCGGUAUAAAAUUAAUAGGUCCCUAGGGUUGAGAUGGCGUGGUUGGUUUAAUUAGUAUAGAUCUAACGGAUAGACAAUGAAUCAAAGGGGAUCUAACAGUAGACAAACUCAUAAUACACCAAGGGCUUGUACUAUCGAUAGUAUAGUAGCCGACCUAUAUAUAUAUAUAUAUAUAUAUAUAUAUAUAUUAUAUAUAUAUAUAUAUAUAUAUUAUUGUAGCAAUAUAUUUUAAAAUAUUUUAUUUCAAAUAUAAAUUAUAAAUAUUAAAAUAUAUAAUAAUAAUAAUUAUUAUAUAAAUUUAAAAAUAUAUAAUAUACUAAAUAUUAUAUAAUACUAUAUAUAUAUAUAUAUAAUAUAUAUAUAUAUAUAUAUAUAGAGUAAUUUUUUAUUUAUAACUAACUUUUUUCUUUUUUUUUUCCUUUCAAUCAAACAAUCGUAAUGAAAAAUUACUUUUUUUUUUCCUAUAAACCAAACGCUAAAAGUGUAAAAUUUAUUUUCCUCCGAAAUUUUGUUUUCACCGAAAAUUUUUUUUUUGCAGUUUUACGAGGAACCAAACAGCCCUAAUGAUAGAUUUUAGAGUGAAAAUUUUUUUGUACACAAACAUUUUAUAUGUUUUAAGAUCAUAUUUGUAGGCUAACCCUCGUUUGCUGUUAAGGUUCUAUAUAAUUUAAUUUAAUACAUUGGAGAAAUGGCUUCGAUUUUAUUGGUACUGUUGAUUAGCUUAUUGAUCUAACUAAGUGAUAAAUAAUAAUUUAUUUAAGAAAAACUAUGAAAAUAUAAAAAUUUAUUCCCAAGAUUUAACUUUUUUAUUGUUUAAUAAAUAUCUUAAAAAAAAAGAUUACAACCAAUCUACUAUCUAUUCUUACACCUAUUUACAUAUAAAUAGUUAUUUCAAAAAAUAAAAAAUAAACAGGACAGCAAAUGAGACCUAAAUUUUUAAUUAUAGAUUGUUAAUCAAUAAAUAUUAGGAUUAAUUUCCUAUAGAUCCCUGCAAAUAUAGUGAAUGAUAAAUAUAUAUAUAUAUAUAUAUAUAUAUAUAUAUAUAUAUAUAUAUAUAUAUAUAUAUAUAUAUAUAUAUAUAUAUAUAUAUAUAUAUGCUACUAUANNNNNNNNNNNNNNNNNNNUAUAAGAGAGAUAAAAAUAUUAAAAACUAAUCAGAAUUAAAUAUUUAAUCUAUAGUUAACUAAAUUUUUCUAACGGAUUCUAACGGUAGGAAUGUAUUUGAGGACAAUAUUAAGACUGUUGUAGGGAUCAUAUAUGAAAAUUGAACUUUAUAAAAAUAUAUUUAUUAUUUACUAUAUUUACAUGAACACGUGUGAAAUUAAUCCUAAAUAUUUUAUACUGUACUGUGGCGUGUAUAUACACUCCCGGUCCAGAAAAAUAAUUUCUCCGGAUUUGUGGCCUCUCGCAUGUGGACUCGGCCAGCUGUCACGCACCAAUUACGGUCGAGCCGUAUUAGGUUAGUAUGUCUUUGCUGAAACGCCAACAUCUGGGUUUUAUAUAAGCAUAUUAUUAUUAUUUCCUUAAAAAUGAUUGAUUUAAACUUGUAAUGAUUAUUUAUUGAGAAACUUUUUGAGGACUACAUUCGUGUCACCUAAAUUUUAUUUUUUCUCUUUCCUGGGGCAAGCCUUUACAAGAUGAUUUUUUUUUUUUAAAAAAAAAUGUUUUAGCAAUAGAUAUAUCUUUAUGAUUGUAAUAUGAAAAAAGAAAAUAUUUUGUGUUCCUAAAAUUCCGUUCUUUUUUAUAGUUUUAUACAACAACAAAUUGCAUGGCAAUCUUUAAAGUUGUUUUUGUUAAUCAAUUAAAAAUCUACAGUUUAUCUAUAUUGUAUAAGGACAACAUUCUCUUAAACCUGUAGUAGUAUUCUAAUAUCUAAAACCUUCCUUUGAAUUAUUUUUGUAUAUAACUUAGGUUUGUUACACUAGCUUCUAAUAGGGUCUUCUCUCUCUCUCAUUCUAACCAUCCAUCAAAAUUUUCAUUAAUGCAUGUAAGGAGCUAUCUGAUUGCAUGCAGUUACAACGAUAAUACAUUCGAUGUUAAAAAAGGUGCAAUUAAUUAAGUCCCACUCUUGUAGGAAAAAAAAAAACUUAUAUUAGGAGUAAUUUUUAUCACUGCACAUAUAAAAUGACAAAAUUUAUAAAUAUAAUUUCAUCUGCAUAUAUACAACCCAAUAGAUUAUUUAUUAUUACAAUGUUUUGGACUACAUCCAAUAAAAAAGAAAUGCAUAUAAUUAUAAUUGCUAUAUCUUUAAUUUGACGCAUGCAUUUUUAACUUAUUAAACUGCAUUCACAGUUAUAUCCAAUCCAAUGGCCCCCAAAGUACAAAAAUUGAUACAAUAUAUUAUAACGUUAGGUUUGAUUCAUAAUGACAUGAAGGUCCCAUGGAUUUGGCGAGAGAAAAACACGGCCUUAUUCAUAAUGACAUGAAGGUCCCAAGGAUUUGGCGUGACAAAAACACGGCCUCAUACAACACGAAGAGACAAUAAUACAGCAAGCCUCAAGAUAUGCAGUUGAAACAUAGUUUUCGCAUUAAUAUGCACUUUAAUUCAUUGUAUUCGAUAGGGUGAAUAUGUCGCGACAACUCUUUCCUGCACUUAAGGAGAGUAACAAAAGCUAUAUAUAAUUUGGUUACAAAAUUAUUUUCAAUGUUUACAUUAUGAUAUCUUGCCACCAUUUCCAUAUUCACUACUAUUGAGUGAUCCUAUAUAUAAUGUACUUUUUAAUAAGUGGAUUUUACAAAUAACAUAAGAAAUACAUAUAUAUAUAUAUAUAUAUAUAUAUAUAUAAUAUAUAUAUAUAUAUAUUAUAUAUAUAUAUAUAUACAUAUAAUAUAUAUAUAUAGGCCAUGGCUACUAUACUAUUAUGAGUAUUGGAGCCCUCGUACUAUAAGUUGUUUUCGAUGAUGGAACUUUCGAAUCGACAAUCCACUCCGUUAAAUGUGAUCUAGAGUAUUUGAAACUUCUAGAAAAUAAAUUUCGUAAAUUUUUGAAAUCAUAAUAGAAUCCAUCAAGCGGCAUAAAUGAACGGUCAAAAUCGAACAACGUCCUAAAAAGCAUGAUCGAUCAUUCAAUUCAAGAUCGAGUUAUUGAUCUUAUCUAUAUAGUGAAUAAAUUUUCUAUCAAAAAUUCAACAAUUCAAUUCUUUUACACCGCUAAACUAGUAAGUAUUUCAUACUCGCCAUUAAAAAUUGUCAAAUUUGUGACCUCUUGAUUGUAAGGCAAAUGAUGUCGAAAAAUUAUAAAAUUUGAUUCUAGAAGUUUUAAAUGCUGUAAAUAACGUUUAACGGUGUGGCUCGAUCGAUUCGGAAGCUCUAUCAUCGAAAACAACUUAUGAGUACGGAGGACGAUCGUAUCAUAAUAGUAUACGUAGCCGGACUUUUAUAUAUAUAUAUAUAUAUAUAUAUAUAUAUAUAUUAUAUAUAUAGAGUCUGGCUACUAUGCUAUUAAUGAGGCAACAAAGCACUUGGUGCUACCAAGUUUUCCGCCGUUAGAUCUACCCUUGUGAUCAUUUUCACCCGUUAGAUCAUACUAUUCAAUCAACCACCCACUCAACCCUAGGGGGCCCACAUUAUCCUAACCACACAUCUCUUAAUCCAAUGGCCAAAAACUUGGUAGCACCAGUGACUUGGUGCUAUUAAUAGCAUAGUAGCCUAGUUCUAUAUAUAUAUAUAUAUAUAUAUAUAUAUAUCAAAUCAUAUUAUGGGACUUUAAAUUAAAAAUGAAAGCUUUAAACAUAUUAAUUAUGGGACUUUAAAUUAAAAAUGAAAGCAGUUUAAAGUUGGCUCUAAAACUAUGUAACCACUACAAUGAGUCCGCUCACAAACUUGUUUGAUCAAGAAGCUUUUGCGUCGGCAAGAUACACUUGCAUUGUAAGGGCAGUUUUUGAUGACGCUUGCGAAAAGCAUCCCCAAGCAUUCCCAUUAUAUAGAAAACACAUAUGCUUCAAAAACCGUCGUUAUAUGAAUAUCAAAAUUAAUUUCUUCACGUAGUAAAUUAUACUAUUACUUUUAUUUUGUGAUGCUUUAAGUCAUCGGACUAUAUCUCAUCGAUGCAUGACAUAAACAUUGGUAUACAUACGGCGACUUCUCAUUUACCGACGCCUUUUCAUGUGCACAGUAGAUUAAUUUAGAAUGCUUUUAAGAAUCAUUAAUUAUUACAAAAACAAUGUCCUUAGAUAUUAUUUUUCUCAUAGCUAGUGUUCGUGCCGAGCCUGUUGUUUGGCACGACAGAUUCGACUGCUACGGCAGUCUACGAGCCAAAACACUGCAUCUAUGCAUGCAGUACCUUUUCUUACCGCGCGCAAUACGUACGUACGGUGCGAUGCAGUGAAAGAUCCGACCGACCUCCAAGCUGGGCAGAAGUGGCCAUGCCAAACAACCUUUACGACGGCCUGAAGGGGGUUAAAACACGACACUGAAAUCAAAUGCUUGGUCUCAUCUAGGGCGGGCACUGUAUUUUCUGCUCCUCGAACAGUGCCGCAUGAGAAAGGGUUAAAUGAGCACUACGAAAGAUGGCUUUUGUACAGAUGAAACAAUCAGGCAUGAAGAGUCUUCUUGCAAGCAUGCGCCAACGUAGGGAUGGAGCUUUGUCACAACCUGCGCAGAUGUGAGAACCGACAAAGAGUAGCAUGUGCUUGUGCUCUAUGAUCCAUGUGAGAUGCUCUUGGACCAUACACAGGGCUCUAGAGUCUUGUCCCUCUCUAGGUACACAUUAAUUGUCCCCUCUCUCUCUCUCUCUCUCUCUCUCUCUCUCUCUCAGGAGUACUUUCAGGUGCGUUUGGUUCGCACUAUAAAAGAUUACUAGGAGUAAAAAGAUAUUCGAAAAUUUUAUUCCUAUUCAUUCUAUUACUAAGAAUAUAGUAUUUCGGUGUUUGAUUCGUACGGUCGUAUUAUUUAGUCAUGUUAUUUAAGAUUACGAAAAAUAUACAAUUAACUUAUUUAUUUUUUAAAUUAAUUUUCAAUAAUAUUAUAAAAAAUUUCAACAUCCUUUUAGAAAAAAGAGGGAGAGAAUAUAGGUUAGAAAGAGAGAGCAUAAUUAAAGAAAUGUGAAGAGAAAUAGAAUCGAGAUUGGAGAGAAUGAGAGGGUUGAGAUUUUAGAAAAAGAGGGAGAGAAAUAGCUUAGUUUAGAGAGAGAAAAAGAGUUGAAGUUUAGAGAGAGAUAUAAGAUUAGAGUGUAAAGAAAAAUAAUACCAACUAGCCGACUGAUGGGAAGAAAGAAAGAGAUUAGACAUAUUAUAAUUACUCCAAUCCAUUAAUAUAUAUAAGGAAAUCUACCAUCUCUCAAAGGAAUGAGAUUAGUACUUUGGGAUGCAUCUCAUUCUCAAGUAAAUCCAGUAUUACCUACUAGAUUACUUAGUGCGUUUAGCCAAACACCGCCAUUUUUUUUAUUCCUAUUAGAUUAUUAGGAAUCUUAAAAAGAUAGUGUGAACCAAACGCACCCUCAGGGUAAUAUAUAUGAUCCUAAUCUUAGCACAGCAUAAUAAAUUAUCAUUGAUUAGAGGAAUUGGCUGAUAUAUAUCUUAUCUACAUAGCGGCGAAUCAAAUUCAAAUCUUACUUCUUGUUGAAUAUAAUUAUUAAAACCAUCAUUCUCCAGCAGCUUAAACUCUUAGAUAUUAACAGUUGUUUUAUUUGAUUUAACACUUCUUGAAAAAAUUAAAGGUAUAUGCAUUGCAGCUCAAGGUGAUAUCUCAAAAUGACAAUUUUAGAAAAAUAAUAGUGUGGUGCUAGCCGUAGGUUUCGCAGAAUGCACACUACAACAGAAUUAGGUUAUAGGGAUAUAUGUUUGGGACACUUUUGUGUAAGUGUCCCAUUUAUGCCAAAACUUAAAAAUAAAUCUACUAAUGCCUAAAUAUAAAGCUCAAUCCAACCAAAAAUAAAAAUGUUACUUUUCUCAACCCACCCCACCCAGCCCAUUCAAUCCGAUUACAAAUAGAAAAGAAAAAAAAAAAGAAAAAUCGAUUACCAUCUCCCCUUCUCUCCUCACUCAAUCCACUAAAAUCCUAGACGAAGAUCCCUUCCUCUUGUCCUUCUCCGCCACCGCAGCCAACGAGGUAGAGUUCCGACGGUUGCUAAAUGCUUAAAUAAGUAUUGGUAAAUUAGCAGCACUCUUUUACGUUAUUGCGACACUCUUUAAUUGUCACUAUAUUCCCAGCGACCCCACAUAUAGCAAUACUUUUUAAAAGUGUCGGUAAUUUAGCCAGCAACACUUUUUUUGACCUAUACUGACAUUUAAAAGUGUCGCUAUAGACCGUUUUUGUUGGAGUGGCAAUCUUUUAUAAGUAGUUGUUAGGAUUUGGUUAGAUUUAUAUAUAGUUGAUUUCUAGUUGAUUAAUUAGCAUAAAUAUUUAAAUCUAGUAGGGAUAAAUUAAUUUGAAUUUAGAUAUUCUAAUUAGAGAAUGAUUGAUAGUUUUAAAUUAAGUAGUCUAAUACAAAAGAGUCUACAAGAUAAGGCUUUAGGUUAGCCUCAUCCUGUAUGGGCAGCUAUUGAUCAUUAUUGUAUUAGAAUUAGAAUUGGAUGUUGACAUUACAUGGAGUAGGCUAAUUGUGCUAAAGGUGUACGGCCGAAGGCUGCUCCAAGACGUUAUUGUACGGCAGAAGGCAUGGAAUACGAGAGAAAAGCUUGGCUGCAUCUAGUGCAUGGGCGCACAUGGAGAGCUGUCUUUUGGAUUUAUAAAAAACAAGAGAAUGAUGAAAAAUUCAGAAAAAAAAAUUUGAGUUGAAAUUACUCUAUUGCAGCAGAAGAGUCAGUCAUAAUUUUUUCUUAAUUAGUGAAUCUUAUUUUAUCCGCAUAAUUUUUUUAUUUAGUUUUUUUUUUCUCUUUUUUGGUUGUAUUAUCUUUUGCUAAGAAAACGGGUGUAUGGUAAAAAUUCGAUUUAAUUUAAUAUAUUAUGUAAGGACUGAGAUUUUUGACAGUGUAACUAAACUCUCGGUUGAUGAUAUUUAUGUGUGUAAUUUAAUUACAUAAGCACUCGUCAAGUUUCAGGAGAAACUGAGCUAAAACGGAGAAGUUACGCGAUUAUUAGUUUUCACUUAAAGUGAAUAGUAACUCUGGUUUUCCGGAGAAGCCAUAGAGUAGAGUUGGCUUUCGGCGCGUAUCGGACUCCGAGCUUAGGACUCCAAUAGCUCGUUUCGACCGGUUCAGCUGUUCUGGGACUAUUGGCGCUGACGGAUUUUGAGUUUGAUGCACGGAUUUCGAGAAAAUCCAAUAAAACGUGUUUUAUAUGUAUUUGUGCGUGAUUUUUGGCCUUUUGGACAGAGAGUGGAUUUCGUCGCAAAUCCGCGACCGUUUGAGGUGAAACGAAAUCGUAGCUUUGUUGUCUCCGAGGUGCUGAUCGCACUGGUGCGAUCCGUUCGCAAAUCCGACGGACGGAUCUGCGGAGAUCGCACGUUGAUCGAGGGGAGGUCGGUGAGGGCAAAUUGGUAUUUUUGCGAAAGUCGCGAUAUUUUAUGUACCAUUUUGUGUGAGAUCGCACGUGGAGGGGUAUUCAGGCAUUUUACUCAGGCUGGGAUGGAUUUAGCUUGAAAUAGUAAGUCUAGGUGGACUUUCUUGCAAUUUUGCGCCGUACUUAUAUUGUUUUCUAGGGUUUUUCUUGAGAUCCGAGCCCUAGAUCAUCCCUAGUUAACCCUAACCGCACCCCAGCCACGUUCUUGCCUCCCUCUGACCUAGCCGCACGACUCCCGGCCGCCGCCGACUUAUCUCCGGCCAGGCACCACCACCCCAACCUUUUCUUUCCCUCUCCCUCUCUUGUUCCCACCUUCCUUCUCCAGCGGCUUGGACCCGAGCAGGGGGAGGACUCUAAACCUCCUCCCUCGGCCGCCUCCACCCUCCCUCGACCGCAGGCACGCAGCCGCCGUCGCCCCGAGCCGCCCGGAGCACCGCCGUAGCCGCUCCAGCCAGCAGCAGCCGCCCCAGCCCGAGCCCAGGCCGAGGCAAGCCUGCGGCCUUUUUCUCUGCACCGCCGCCAUCGUGACCACCCCGGCUGACUCCCCGGAGCCCCGGCAUCCCUCCUCGCCGACUGCCGCCGCCCCUGCGGGCUGCUGCCGCCGCUGCGGCCAUCCUGCAGCUGCCCCAGGUCUACUCGGGCCGAGCAGACCUGGUAGCUCCACCCUCGCGCCGCAGUCCCUUUUUCCACCCAUGCGGCCUCCGUCUCAACCUCCGGCACCCCCACCCCCGUCCGGAGAUGUCGCCACCGCCGCCGCGCGCCGUGGGCGCCGCCGCCCCGGUCUCCUGACCGAGCCAAUUUCGGGUGGCUGCGCCCGAGCCGCGGGUUGCCGCCGCCCUUGCCGGCUGCCUCCCUCCUCGUCCUUCGACCUCGAGCGACCCCUCGCCGUCGGCCCGAGGUGCCCCGGCCACCGCCGAGAGCUGCGUGCCACCCUGGACCCGAGCCGAACCUGGUGCGGGCUGGGUUGGUUCCACCGUUGCCGCCGCCGCUCCUCGUCGCCACCUGAGGUGAGCACCACGUUCCUCACCUCUCCCGCACCCAUCCCUGGCCCCCGUGCGCGCCUCCAUGCCGCCGGAAGCCGGCCGGAGCAAGCUUGCUCCGGCCAAGCCCGAAAUAGGGUUUUUAGGGAGUGGGUUGCCGUUUUGUGCUUUCUAGGGCUUCUCGACCCCUACGGAAGGGAGCACGGUGAUCGUGGCAAAUUGCUGAUCAUCGUGCUCACCUUAGAUUUUGUUGGGGAGACUCCAUUCUGCUGUUUUCGCUGGGUCGACCCCGUGGAGCCUGUUUGGCUACUGUUUUGGGUUUGCGCGCGCUUAUCCGGCGAUCCGAGGCUGUCUUGAUGCCUCCGGAGGUGAGCACGGUGAUCGUUGGUCUGUCCCGAUCACCUUGCUCACCUCACUUUGGAUCAACAGUGUCCGGUCAGCCCUGUUUGGUGCGAUCUUCCCCGACUGCGCGCUGUUCGCAGAACUUCGAGUUGCUCCCGCGCUUCCCACAGUGACCUGUUGCGCUUCAGACCGUGAGCACGGCCUCCGGCACGUCGAGACCUGUCAGUACGUGUCUCGGCGGAACUUAGAGGUCCUCAGUUUGUGAGAACGAGUCAUAGGAGUCGCCCGAUUUACAUAAAAUGAUGGAUUUUAUGUAAACAUAGGGGCUUUUGUGCAAUUGUACGCCUUGUGGCUACUGUAGGCAGUAUGUAAGAGUGUGUUUGACCUCUGGACUGAUUGUCCAUGAUCCUGUAGCUUUCACGGAAAUCGAAAGGUCGAUUUCGGUGCGUUUUUCGACGAAAUUCGUCGAAAGAACGCGAUUUCGAUUCGGAUUCUUUUCGACGGUGUUUGUUUGCUUUGUGUUUUGUCGCUGAGCCUUGUUGGCUGGUCACCAUCAUUAUUUUGUAGGUUCGAUGAUGAUAGGUGAGCGACGGAGGGUUCCGGUGUCGAAAUAGACACUUUCGGGAACCCGGAUUCGUACAAUUAUCCGGCGAUAAUUGUGUAGGGGUGUUAUCUUGUGUUUGCUGCCAAAACAUCCAAAUUGGAGUGUUUUGGGGCAGCAGGUGACUCGUGACACGAGUCGGUGAGUUUCGGGACACUUAGUGGGUCCCGACGGCGUCCCGGUGUGGUUUUCGGGACUUCCGGCGAGUUACGGUAAUCGGUAUUGGGAAACCGAUCUUCGUGGAAUCGGUUUGUGGUGUUGUGGAUACUGUAAUUAUUAGUUGUGGUUAGAUGCUAACCCGGUGACCCUCUAUAGGUCCUGUCGACUUUCUUUCGCAGUCAGGAGACAGACGCGACAUCCGUACAGGUGGGUAUUCGAUCCGACGUCGGUAAAGUGGUGCACGCUCGGUGAUAUUCUCCUAUCCCUGUUCUCUCUGUUAUUACUAUUGCGUAGUGUAGCUUAUUGAGCAUCGCACCCCCCAUUGUCUAAUCUUACUCUACUCAUUGUUUGCAUGAUUAGUAUCCUGAGUAGGAGUAGAGUAGUUAUACUAUAUUUUCUUGUUACUCUACUUGCCUGUUUUACAUAUCUUGGGUCAUGUUUAUAGUAGAGCGGUUCCGUGACUAUCUAUGAGAUCUGUGACCUAGGCGGUCGAUUCUAGUACCCAUACUUGUGACUUAUCGGUGAUUCCGUCCUUGACUUUGUUUGUCCGAUGACCUUUGAGGUCGUGAUCCCUGGGGGUAGGAUUGUCGCUAUGGCCGACGGUAGUUCUAGAUUGUAUACUCAGAUGACUUGUUGAUCGAUUCUUGCAUAUAUAUAGUAUUGACCUAUUGAUCAGUAGCUACAUACUUUUGGUAGGGGUGUUGAGUUGUUCCAUCCUAGUUGACCUGAGUGGUUGGUUCUUGUGCUUCUUACAGUUGAUGACCUAUGCGGUCGAUAGGCCUGGGCAGGAUUGUCGGCUGGUUGCCGACGGUUGAUCAUUGACCAUAUUGCAUUGAUCGCCCGAUCUCGUUGCAUUCACAGAACACUGGCGGUCUGAUCCACGCAAGGAGUGUUCUUUUCCGGAAAAGUGGUUGAAUGGUGACAACCCGUGAGCCCUAGAGGGGUUAUAUGCAUGUUAGAGCGGCAGUGGUACUUCGGAGGUGUUGCGGUGCGGACCUCCAGGGCAUUGGCUUGAGGUCUGCGUGCUGACCAAGAGAGCAUUUAGUUUCAGAUUGGUACUUUUGGACUUCUUGACCGGUUGACGCAUAUGUCUAUAGCAGCAGUCAUUGCAUGCAUACUUAUAGUUCUUACUUUAUAAUGUCUUGCUACUAUAGUAGAUAUUCAUAUAUGCUUUCUGUUUUAGUUAUUAGUACGGUAGCCGUUUAUUCAGUAUAGUUCUCUCUUCCUUUCAGUUAUCGCUAUUGUAUAUCUGCUCAUUACUUGUUUUAUUUCCACUGACCCAUGUUGUUGUGAUAGUUCUUCCUGACCGGUGAGUACUCCUCGCCUUCUUCGGCUUGCGUACCACUGGAGGGAGACAUGUUUACAUGUUCUCACCUCCCCCACCAUUUUUCAGGUAUCGCGGGUGUUGAGUAGUGGGACGAGACGUGAGGUACGUGUGUAGCGGACGAUAGAGCUUCCGACCAGUUAUUUCGGUAUAGUUAUUACCUUAGUAUUUCAGUUGUUAUAGCUUAGA